Carassius gibelio (silver crucian carp) is the source of this 239-nucleotide long non-coding RNA. RefSeq lists it as uncharacterized. Lineage: Eukaryota; Metazoa; Chordata; Actinopteri; Cypriniformes; Cyprinidae. The record is from RefSeq and is a predicted model, not a curated record. The transcript has 2 exons.
UAGGGGCAAUGCAGAAGGUGUACACGUCUCUAAAGGCCAGUGAGAUUGAAGACCUCAUUUCAAUGGUCCUAAAAUUUGCCCCACACAGGCGUUUAAAAUGCUGAGGAAGUGAAGACUUCGAGAAGUUUUACAAUUUUGUUCACCGUAUACGUUUUCAGUUUUGUUCCCCGCACACGUUCACUGUACACAAUGAACUUAUACAUUUUGUUUGUUGUUUAAAAUAAAAGGUUCAGAUCCAA